AUAUCAGUAAGCGGAGGAAGAGAAACUAACAAGGAUUCCCCCAGUAACGGCGAGUGAAGCGGGAACAGUCCAAAUUUUAAAUCUGGGACCCUCGGUCUCCGAAUUGUAGUUUACAGACGCGGGUCGUGGCUGGCGCGCUGCCGUGCAAGUCUCCUGGAACGGGGCAUCGCGGAGGGUGAGAAUCCCGUGGCACAGCGGCGCACCGGUCGACAGAGUUGCGUCGACGAGUCGAGUUGUUUGGGAAUGCAGCUCAAAAUGGGUGGUAAAUUUCAUCUAAAGCUAAAUAUUGGCCAGAGACCGAUAGCGCACAAGUA
This 314-nucleotide ribosomal RNA is filed under the name uncultured eukaryote. RNAcentral's name for it is "partial large subunit ribosomal RNA". It matches the Rfam family "Eukaryotic large subunit ribosomal RNA", at positions 40 to 350 of the family's 3401-position model. The record is from RNAcentral.